UGGCAAGAUUAACUAGCUUACUG
RNAcentral lists this microRNA (23 nucleotides) under Pristionchus pacificus. RNAcentral's name for it is "ppc-miR-2259". The record is from miRBase by way of RNAcentral. Lineage: Eukaryota; Metazoa; Nematoda; Chromadorea; Rhabditida; Neodiplogasteridae.